AGAAAAUGUUUUCAGACUGCUCAUUUCUAUGUGGAAGACAGCAGUUCACCUCGAGUGGUCCCUAAUGAAAGUAUUCCUAUUAUUCCUAUUCCGGAUGACAUGGAAGCCAUUCCUGUCAAACAGUUUGUCAAACACAUCGGUGAGCUCUAUUCUAAUAACCAGCAUGGGUUCUCUGAGGAUUUUGAGGAAGUCCAGCGCUGUACUGCUGAUAUGAACAUCACUGCAGAGCAUUCCAAUCAUCCAGAAAACAAGCACAAAAACAGAUACAUCAACAUUUUAGCAUGUGAGUAAUAAGCUUUAAACUACCUUCAACUGCGAGGAAAUUAAAUUUUCAUGCUGGGUGUAAGCUGAAAGCCGAGCAAUCAGAAGCAGGAUGCCAAGAAAGAAUGAUUCUUGCAAGCUAACCUCUUAUUAGCCCAUCUUCAACAGUGUAGAAGUUGGGACAUUUUCUUCCCCCUUAGCCUUUCAUUAGGCUGUCAGAGCUCAGCGAGCUUAAUAAGGUGACUGAAAGAAAAUGUUUGGAGCUUCGCUAUUUUCACAUGAAGUGAUGUCAUAUCACAUGUUGGGAGCCAAAAUUUGAAUGUCACUUGGUUAUACUGACAUUGUUUUUAACCUGUAAGGGCCAAAUCUUUUAAUACAAAUGAAAAUAUUGGGAAUUGAAUCAAGCAAGCUGAAUUUCAAAGCAUUCUUUCAAAGACUACAUAAUUGGCUUGUACCUUAAAUGAUGAGCCUCCAGGCCUUUUGGUCCAUGUGCUUACUCGUCUCUAUCACAUUUCCAUGGUCAGGAAUAUUCUGUAGGUUAGGUACUCAAACAAAUGGACAUUCUUCAUACAGAGCCUCAAGGAAUACCCUAG
This 854-nucleotide small RNA is filed under the name Pan troglodytes (chimpanzee). Its description in RNAcentral is "retained intron". Lineage: Eukaryota; Metazoa; Chordata; Mammalia; Primates; Hominidae. The record is from RNAcentral.